This 429-nucleotide ribosomal RNA is filed under the name Bacteroidota bacterium. RNAcentral describes it as "Bacteroidetes bacterium partial 16S ribosomal RNA". It matches the Rfam family "Bacterial small subunit ribosomal RNA", at positions 355 to 776 of the family's 1533-position model. Lineage: Bacteria; Pseudomonadati; Bacteroidota. The record is from RNAcentral.
UAGGGAAUCUUCCGCAAUGGACGCAAGUCUGACGGAGCAACGCCGCGUGAGUGAAGAAGGAUUUCGGUUCGUAAAACUCUGUUGUUAGAGAAGAACAGCGCAUAGAGUAACUGUUAUGCGUGUGACGGUAUCUAACCAGAAAGCCACGGCUAACUACGUGCCAGCAGCCGCGGUAAUACGUAGGUGGCAAGCGUUGUCCGGAUUUAUUGGGCGUAAAGCGAGCGCAGGCGGUCAAUUAAGUCUGAUGUGAAAGCCCCCGGCUCAACCGGGGAGGGUCAUUGGAAACUGGUUGACUUGAGUGCAGAAGAGGAGAGUGGAAUUCCAUGUGUAGCGGUGAAAUGCGUAGAUAUAUGGGGGAACACCAGUGGCGAAGGCGACUCUCUGGUCUGUAACUGACGCUGAGGUUCGAAAGCGUGGGUAGCAAACAGG